UAUUACGUCGUACACGACAGGGUCGUGGAGAAAAUUCUCUCUUAUCUCGGGAAUCGAUCGUGAUUUAGCAUUCGGCGCGAGUCGAGGCUAUCAGUCAAAACAUCCACGACUUGCUCUGUCGCUGUAGCCGAAUCGUGUAUAGUAUAACUUCAAUCAAACAAUAAUACAAUUAAGUCCAGAAAGAAAAGAAAAAGAUCUCAAAUGAAAAACCAAAAGGAGGAAAACCGGUUCAAGUGGAAUUGUAGUUUCCUGACACGACAAACAACAACAAAAGUUACUAGGAAACGACAACGAUAAUUGAUUCCGAUUUUUUCUACCUAACAACAAACUGUCAACUCGUCAAUCUAAUUCUACGCGUGUUUUGUUGUAGCUGGGCCCUUCUCGAACGCCGGAAUUACACGACACUCUCUCUCUCUCUCUAUUGUGAGUAGUACCGAAAUUUAUGAAUUUCCACAGCCGUGACGGAACGUGCUUUACCUGAAUAGGAAUAACUAUAAAAUCAAUCAAUCAAUUCUAUAUGUAGAAAUACGAUUGAAUAUGUUGAAAUCAAUAAUACGAGUCGCUCAACGAAUUACAAACAGAUUCCGAUUACGUUUAGCAUCAAGUAAAAAAAAAAAUUGAGGUCGUCUGCGCGUGAAGAAUCGUCAGAACAUAAAGAAAACGACCGUUGCACACAAUUCCACGCCAUAAAUCUAUUCUAUAGAAAGGUUUCCUUUUAUUAUUAUUAUUAUUAUUAUUAUUAUUUUUUUUCACCCAGGGCGUAUUAUCCGCCCGGCUUAGCAACCACUCUGAGAUUAGGAAGCCCUAAUACUGAUGAUAUUAUACGCAUUGCAUUAUAUCUAUAU
Molecule: long non-coding RNA, 845 nt
Organism: Daphnia pulicaria
Lineage: Eukaryota; Metazoa; Arthropoda; Branchiopoda; Diplostraca; Daphniidae
Exons: 3
Source: RefSeq, a predicted model, not a curated record